Molecule: long non-coding RNA, 521 nt
Organism: Brachypodium distachyon (stiff brome)
Lineage: Eukaryota; Viridiplantae; Streptophyta; Magnoliopsida; Poales; Poaceae
Exons: 2
Source: RefSeq, a predicted model, not a curated record
CCUUCCUCCAUUAAAUCAGCACUUUUGGAAUUUUUGAGCCCGGAAUGCACGCAACCCACAACAUCCAGAUCUCAAAGGACCACUCACGUGAGCAUCAAAUAAUUCAGCUAGCUUAAUUAGCAAAGCGAAGAAGAGUAAUUCCAAAUUCUCAAGUGGAUGAAGAAAUGACAAAGAUCGGAAUUAUGGAGGUGUAGAUGCAACACCACCAGCUGCCAGUGUGUGCUCCGGUGUUUUAGUGGUCCACUGGCUCCUAAUGACAGCAUAACCACCGUUUAAUUAGGGUUUGGUCCCUGAAUAAUGGAUAGGCAUAUAUCCAUUUCCAUGAGCUAAUUGGCUGCUGUUCAGCUGCCUGUAAUAUAUUCCCCUGAUCAUGUGUGGCAUGCUUUCUUCCAGCACUGUGCAGUGUUCCUCCAGCUUGUUGGUUUAGUGGGCACGUUUGUUUAGCUGCUCACAUCAACUUGCUUCAUGUGCUAAAUUUUUUGAUUCCAUGGUCCAAUUUUCAUUUCUAUUUCUAUUUUUGA